Molecule: long non-coding RNA, 893 nt
Organism: Leopardus geoffroyi (Geoffroy's cat)
Lineage: Eukaryota; Metazoa; Chordata; Mammalia; Carnivora; Felidae
Exons: 3
Source: RefSeq, a predicted model, not a curated record
CCAAGCCUUUGUCACCUCCUUGAGCCACCAGGUCUGUUAGUCGAUCAGGACGCCCUGGUGCAGGCUCUUCAGACUGGGGUUAUUAAAGGAGCAGCACUGGACGUGACGCACCCGGAGCCCCUGCCCAGAGAUCAUCCUUUAUUGAAGUUGGAGAACGUCACUCUGACACCUCACGCUGGGAGUGCUACUCAUCAAGCCAGGAGACAGAUGAUAGAAAAUUUGGUUGCAAGCAUCCUGGCUUCUCUCCAUGGUCUUCCCAUUCCUAAUGAAGUGCGACUUAACUGGGAUAAUUCCGUGGCAUGACACGUGGCAGAUUAAAUGAAAAAAAAAAAAAAAAAAUCUUGUUUUGUGUAUCUACGUUAAAGCCCAUCAUGCAGAUGAAUACUCUUUUGGGCGAAAAGCCUUAAGAACAGCGGUAACAUUUGUUGAGAACUUGGCAGGCGCUUCUCUUCCAUUCCCGCCGCAGCCUCCAGGCCGCUCUGAGCGAAGUCCCCCCCCCCCCCCCGUUUUCAUUAUGAAGCACAGAGAAUUCCCUGAGGUCCCGGCAGCCUGCAAAUACUCGGUCUUGGAUGAAAACCCUGGGCCAGGUCUGCGCGUUUCCCAGUGGGCCACGCUGCCUUCCGUCCCGUUAAACUCUCGUAGCUCCUCGGACCCCAGUACCCGUGACACUUGGAGCCCGAACCCCUCGUUUCUUCCCGUUAUUCCACCGGCGGUUUCUGAGCACCCUCUGCGUGCCGCGCGCGCGUGCUGUUCGAAGCUCCGGGGCUUCCGCGGGAACGGCGUCCCGGAAUGGGGGGCUGGCCCGCUGGUGGGGGCGACAGGAGCGCGGGGCACCGAGCCGGGGUCUGCGGGCAGGCCCCGGGAUGGGCGCGCCUCCUUUCUGGAGCGGAGGG